Molecule: long non-coding RNA, 910 nt
Organism: Sitophilus oryzae (rice weevil)
Lineage: Eukaryota; Metazoa; Arthropoda; Insecta; Coleoptera; Curculionidae
Exons: 3
Source: RefSeq, a predicted model, not a curated record
UUUCAAAUAACAUGAAUGGAUGAAUGGAAAAAAAUAAUGAUUAUUCACUUUUAUUUAAUUGAUAUUGAAAUAAUAAACACCUAUAAAAAUAUGUAUUAAACUCAGAAUGAAAAACAUUCAAAUGUUAUUGGACCGGCAAAUGUCAUUUUUUUGGAUUGUAUGUUGCCAGUUGCUAAGCAACCCAGAAACAAUAAUGCGUUUACUUCCCAUAAGCAUGAAAUCCAGUGAGUUUUUAACAACCAUUCCUGUUUUUUUGUAAAGAUCUUUGCUACAAUUAAUUUCAAAUGGAGUAGGUAAAUGGCGGAGGUGCAUAUAAUUGGUCAAAUUACCGAAGCAAAAGAAUUUCCAAAACAAGAACUUUUUUGUAAAUGGUAUAUUCAAAUAGAUUUGUGAAUACUAAUGAGCGCGUAUAAAUAGGAAAUAAUUGGAGGAUUAUAGAGGGCAAAAAAGAAGGACAAACCCAGGUUUCCUCGUCCCAUUUUACAGAAUCAUGCAACUGGUUAUUUCCUAUCGAUAUCCAUUUAGCCACUGCCGGAGUUAGAGAUACCGAUUUUCAGUGAAGAUUCCGUCAUAACUACAACCAAAAAAUGACAGACAAUAUAAUUAAAGCUUAAUCAAAAUUUUGUAUGUUUACCACUCUGUGUUUACUGCCAAAAAAAUUACGUCAUAUAUUUUCAUACGUUUUCAUUUAACGUUUUUAUUGAUCCAUUGACGGAUAUACCUAUAAUCGAAAAAAAAACGGCGCCCAGUUGGCUUGGAAAAAACGAUCAAUGACAUCCCAAUAAUUUCUAUAUAAAAUGACAACGAUCUUCAUUUCAUAGCCAUCGCUGACGUCGUUUUUUUUUUUAUUUUAUGGUACAGCUCCUAAACGGAUUAUCAUUGGGCUCACUAACAGGCAACUUUCUCCCAA